GCGCCCUUAGCUCAGCUGGAUAGAGCACCUCCCUUCUAAGGAGGUGGCCACAGGUUCGAAUCCUGUAGGGCGUACCA
RNAcentral lists this transfer RNA (77 nucleotides) under Psychromonas sp. Urea-02u-13. RNAcentral describes it as "tRNA-Arg". It matches the Rfam family "tRNA". Rfam says of the family: Transfer RNA (tRNA) molecules are approximately 80 nucleotides in length. Their secondary structure includes four short double-helical elements and three loops (D, anti-codon, and T loops). Lineage: Bacteria; Pseudomonadati; Pseudomonadota; Gammaproteobacteria; Alteromonadales; Psychromonadaceae. The record is from RNAcentral.